This 3890-nucleotide long non-coding RNA is filed under the name Daucus carota (carrot). RNAcentral describes it as "long non-coding RNA (DCAR_LNC002761)". Lineage: Eukaryota; Viridiplantae; Streptophyta; Magnoliopsida; Apiales; Apiaceae. The record is from RNAcentral.
UGAAGCGAUGAAUAUGAACAGUAAAUUAAAGGAACUGCCGGUCUGUAACCCUCUUAACAAAAGCAACAGCAACUCAAUAUAAUAUUUAAGAGCAAAUGACUACAAAAGGAGGACUGGAAUUAAAUAAACUGAAGAGAAUGUUCAAAAUGACUACAACGGAAAUGAAAGGAAAUACACAACAAGAAAGCUGAAAUAAAUUCUUCUCCAAGCUAGCUAUUCACUCUCUCUUCCUCUGCAUAUAAAGCCUGACCACCUUUCACCUGCCACGUGUCACCGACUGAUUGGGCGUGUGAUCCCAUGAAGAUUCUACCGUUAUAGCAAGCACAUUCCAUUCACGUGCUUAGCUAUCAUAUACUGUAUUAAAUAUCAUACGACGUGGUUAUAUUAUCACAGCUGGCUACACGGUCAUAUUUUUCGGGCUACACAAUCCAAAUAUCCUGGCUAGAAAACAGAAAAAUAAAACUUAAACUUGAGGCCCUCAGUGCUCUCAUGAAUAAAAUGUCCUCCAGUCUGUCGUAGAUGAUAUAUCAGAGAUAAGAGAUACGAGAAUUCACAGGAAAGUAGGAAACCGGAAUGGGAGCUUUGCUUUUCGACUUGUGGUUUGAUGAUAAACAAUUAGGCUUAUCUUUCACAUUUUCUUUAUCGUUUACUCGCGCAGAAGAUGAGGGGCUAAAACAACCCAGCAUGCCUGAGAAAAUACCCAUUUUACGUCAAAAAAACUAAGUAUGUGUACUUGUAUAGAUAGAUUGUUUUAUACCAGUAGGCAGUAGCAGUUAAGAAAGCGAGAAAGAAGAAGGCUUAUAUUUUCAACUUGGUGUUUGAGAAUCUCUCUUUUAUAGGCAUUUCGUAGCUUCACGGAAGUAUCUUCGCAUUUGGCCCAUUACGUCAUAAAUAUUAACAAUUUUGUUAAUAAAUAAUUAAAUACCUGCAUAUGUUGAAGCAAUCACAUGUUGUAUGAUGAUGAGUUGAACUUGCCAAAUAUAUAUCAACAUCCAUUGUGCAGGUCUUGUUUACGUUUCUUUUGGGCUUGGGGAGCAAGGAAUUGGACCAAGUCAAGCAACUAGAUCGAUGUGACUUGUGAGUAUGUGACAACAUUAGACUCCAUAUUUUAUACACUUUAAAGUCAAGUCUAAUAAACACGUGUAUUGACAUAGCAACCUCAAGUCUGCUCGUCGCUUCACAGUCGAUUAAAAAUAGGCUUCGACCCCUUAUUUCAAAACAAUAUCUUUUAAUAUUAUAUAUUUAACACGUGUCAAACAUUUUUCACAAAGGGGUGUUUGACCGGGUAUAAAAUUCGGGCUUCUGAGUUUACAAUUUAGAAGCACUUAUUCGUACCGUUUGUGUAAAAAGUCAAAAAGUACAUGUAAGUUGAGAAUACUAACUUUUGUUUCAUGACUUCUACUUAUUUUCCAAACACUUUAAUCACUUAUAAAUCUUAACUUGCUUUUAACUUUUAUUUCACUUUUUUACUUUAAGCGAUGAGCACUUAUUUUAAACUCAGUCAAACGGCUCCAAAAUUAACGCGCUUAUAUUCAAAGAAAAAUACUGUAAUAAGAAAGUAAUAAGAAUUGCUUAGCCAACAAAGUAAAAUAAUAUAAGAAAUUUCAAAAAUUAAUAUUGUUUAGUUAUGUUUUAAAAAUAAUUUUAUUACAAGAUAUCUUUAAAAUUGAAAAGUAAAUUUUAUACUGUUUCGAGUGUUGGUCAAUAAGGAAGGUAGAAAAAUGUAAGUUAGAGAUCACAUGAAUAUAUAUGUUACGUUGGAUUUGUGACAAGAAAAUGGUAGAUCACAUAUCAAAUGAUGUUUUCAUACGAGCGUUGAAUGGAACCAAUUUGCAAGAGAGGAAGAAUCGAUUGAAGUGAUACAUGUUAAUUGAAAACGAACAAUAACUAGUAGCUAGGGAUAACAUAUCAGUUCCGAAGAAGAAAAAGAGACAUACAAAAAUCAGGGACGAAACCAGAAAUUUGAACUGGAAUGAGCUUGACAAGUGAAUAACGAAAAAAAAUUAUACCCGCUCGUAUGUUUAUAAGGUCGGAACACCUCAUGUGCUAAGUAAGAUCUAAAAAAAUAUACUCACCGCGUGCAUUAAUGCUAGGAACCCAAAAAAAUAGAACUCCACUAAGUUAAUCAGCAUUCUCUAUUCCAUUCUCUGUUCAAUUCUCUGUAUCUACUUGAUUAUGUUAAUGGGCUGGACUUAGUUGAUAGUGGGCUUGAGUUUACUUAACACAUAAAUUACAUAAUAUAUAUAACUACUAAUUUUUUUUUUAAAAAGAAUUCCCCCGGGCUUAGGCCCAGGUAAGUCCUUGACUACAUCCGUCUCUGACAGAAACAUACAUGGACCGAUCAACUAAAUAUAGACAUGGAGAUUUUAAAUCUGUCAAGUGACAUGAUUUUAGAUACAGUUGUUUGACGAUGAUAUAUUAGAGUAAUUGAUUAGUGAUAUAUCGGGGUUAAGUUGUACUCUCUCCGUCCCAGUCAAUUAUAAAUGUUUGUUUUUCACUGACCGGCAUGUAUCUAAGACUCUUAUAAAAUAGCUCUAUAACUUAUUUUUGAAUUCAUCUUUUUAUGUAUAAAAGUAUAAAUGUUAUAAAUUUUUAUACAGAAUUUUUUUUCUCUAAAAAGUUGCAGAACUAUAUUUUAUUGAAGGAUUAAAAUCCAUGCCGCUACCCAGUCCCCCGACAUAUACUAUUGGCUUGGAGUACAUAUUCACUGCUUGCAUGUAUCUUCACUGGUGUUUGUAUAUAUAUGCUCAUAUCAUGUGUAUUUAUAUAUGCAUGGCAGUACUCACUAUAUUUUGCCAUGCACUAAAUUAAAGAAUUGAUUCUAAAACGUUGGCAUCACUUAAAGAAAAAGCGACCAUUCAUGCCGUUGGAAAGUAACAUUUUUGUUAUGGCAUCACUUAAAGAAAAAGCGACCAUUCAUGCCGUGGGAAAGUAACAUUUUUGUUACAAUAUUGACUUCAUUUUUGAUCAUAUAUAUCAUCUGGUUGAUUUAUAUCGGUUAAUAUGAGCUCUGUAGUGAUCAAAUAGGUAACAGAUUACAACACACUGGCAAUAAUCAGUAUGAUGAUUACAAUCGGAGACAAGUGACGAGAGAAUCAAUCAGUAUGAGCAUUCAGAAAAAAUAUUUAUAUUAUUAUGACAUGUUUAACACUAAGUUCACCCAAACACCUAUUCCCUCUGUCCCAUUUCAUUCUAUAAGUUUCUUUUUUACCGUCCGACACGCACUUCAAUACUCUUAUAAAAAUAUAACAUUCAAACUUUUAUUUAAAAAAGAAAAAUCUUAAAAAUAAAUUAUAGAACUAUACUUUACAGGAGCAUUAAAGUCCGUGUCGCGUCCCGUCCUCCAAUGUAUAUAACUCAGGGGGACGGGAGGAGUACUAUAUAGUAUAUGAAUCACAAAUAAGAGAGACGAGAAUUAAUAGGAAAAUAUGAAACUGGAAUGGGAGCUUUGCUUCCACUUGAUUUGCUUUCCGGCUUGUGGUUGGAUGAAGAAGAAGACUCCUCCUCUUUUACAUUUUCUUUAUCGUUUACUCGGGAAGAGAAUGUGGGGUUGAAACAACUCAUGAUGCCGGAAAAUAACCCCAUUUUUUGUGUGUAAUUUGAGCUAGUUGGAUUGGUUUUUGCUGUAGUGUGGCAAAAGAAACAGGUGCUAGUAGUAGUCUGAAUGUUUUCUUGUAGAGUAUUGUGUUUGAGUAAUUCUUCAUAUGGUUCAUCUGUUCCUUUUAUAGGCCUUUGGGUCCUUGAAGGAAGUCUGGUGAAAUUUGGUGAUCAAGUAAUGAAAAAUGAUACAGACACAUGACAUGCAUGUACCCAAUAAGCGAAACAUCCCCAUCAAAACCAGCUGUUCCCGAUUCAAUUUCUCUGUGUUGGACGUGGUGAGCAAGUAAAUG